UUACCUACGGGAGGCAGCAGUGGGGAAUAUUGGGCAAUGGGCGCAAGCCUGACCCAGCAACGCCGCGUGAAGGAAGAAGGCUUUCGGGUUAUAAACUUCUUUUCUCAGGGACGAAGCAAGUGACGGUACCUGAGGAAUAAGCCACGGCUAACUACGUGCCAGCAGCCGCGGUAAUACGUAGGUGGCAAGCGUUAUCCGGAUUUACUGGGUGUAAAGGGCGCGUAGGCGGGACUGCAAGUCAGAUGUGCAAACCAUGGGCUCAACCUAUGGCCUGCAUUUGAAACUGUAGGUCUUGAGUACUGGAG
RNAcentral lists this ribosomal RNA (305 nucleotides) under uncultured bacterium. RNAcentral's name for it is "bacterial SSU rRNA". It matches the Rfam family "Bacterial small subunit ribosomal RNA", at positions 335 to 654 of the family's 1533-position model. The record is from RNAcentral.